AGGGCUUUAGUUUAAUUAAAACAUUUGAUUUGCAAUCAGAAGAUGCGAAGUAAUAUUUGUAGGUCCUA
This 68-nucleotide transfer RNA is filed under the name Betadevario ramachandrani. RNAcentral's name for it is "tRNA-Ala". It matches the Rfam family "tRNA". From Rfam's summary of the family: Transfer RNA (tRNA) molecules are approximately 80 nucleotides in length. The record is from RNAcentral. Lineage: Eukaryota; Metazoa; Chordata; Actinopteri; Cypriniformes; Danionidae.